Molecule: long non-coding RNA, 669 nt
Filed under: Ananas comosus (pineapple)
Lineage: Eukaryota; Viridiplantae; Streptophyta; Magnoliopsida; Poales; Bromeliaceae
Description: long non-coding RNA (ACOM_LNC024375)
Source: RNAcentral
CUAAGUGGCCAGCCGGAAACCCUCCAAAUUACCAAGUGACAGCAUAUGCUCGUCGUUGCCAACCUUGCUAUUAAUUGUAUGCUUGAGAAAAUAUACAGAAUAUUUUUAAAGUAAAAAAUUAUUAUUUAUAUAAAAUUUUAAUUUUAGUUAUAUAUGAUUGGAUAGUUUAAUCCAAUAUUUAUCUAUAUAAUUUAUUUAUUUUUGACCGCAUAAAUGAAAAUGAAUAAUAUGGAGAUUGAAGGCUGAAGAGAAGGCAUGUGAGGCUCAAAAGAUUAGAUAUUCAACUCAUAAAUUAUUUUUCUUUAUUUUAUAAUACCCUAUUUCAUAUAAUUAUUUUAUACUUUGAACUAUUAGGCAUAUUUUUGUAUCAAAUUAUAGAUAAUGUUAUAUACAAAUUAAACUAUUGAUCGUAUGAUGUUGAGAAUUUCAAGCGGCUCAUUUAGGGCUCGAGCUCGCUCGACUCGAAAUUAAGCUCGACUCGAAAUUAAGCUCGCUCGAGCUCGGCUCGAAUUAAUUUCAAACCAAACUUAAGCUUAUAUUUAGGCUUGAAAUUAAUUUCAAACCGAAUUUGAGCCAAGGUAAGCUCGCUCGAGCUCGGCUCGUUUCCACCCCUAUUUCCAACUACACUGUAUUUUUAAUUGUAUCCAACUAAACAUCCCUUAUUUUCAC